Molecule: long non-coding RNA, 558 nt
Filed under: Spirodela polyrhiza (greater duckweed)
Lineage: Eukaryota; Viridiplantae; Streptophyta; Magnoliopsida; Alismatales; Araceae
Description: long non-coding RNA (SPOL_LNC000015)
Source: RNAcentral
GUAAAAAAUGUAAUGGGUUCAAUUUCAUCCCUACCAAUUACUUAUCCUAUGGGCAGUCACGAGGGAUUAAUUGAGAUCGAUUAUAAUUGGGCAUAAUCUAUCAUUUUAUGAUACUAUAUGCAUGCCAGAUGUAUUUAUUUCUCGGUUUGGCUCGUUCGGUAGGGUCGUUUGACACUUUCCCGAAGGGUAUCUUGAAGCGUAAGUAAGGGAGUGAUGUACAAUCAAACUUAUUUCUCGAUUCAAUAGAAGCCUGGCCUGAUUCAAUAGAAGCCAAAAGAAGUUAAUACGGUACCCAAAUAACGAUAGAUAUGUCAAAAGCAGGUCAGAUUACACCCAUUCCUAAUUCUAAAUAGAAUGUCACGGCUAGCCACCUCACUUAGUGUACCUUCCCUAGAUCGGCCUUUGUUUCCUUCCCCCUCUACUCUAAGGCUCAUUCGCUCGGAUGUAGUCAAAUUCUCAUUCUAAGGUCUCAUCCUUUAAGCAUUCGCUAGGCCACCUAAGACUCACAACUACACCGAUCGAUGGGGCUCACUUGCUUUCUUCUCAGCUCGCUCCCUG